This 200-nucleotide long non-coding RNA is filed under the name Panax ginseng (ginseng). Its description in RNAcentral is "long non-coding RNA (PGIN_LNC000530)". The record is from RNAcentral. Lineage: Eukaryota; Viridiplantae; Streptophyta; Magnoliopsida; Apiales; Araliaceae.
AUACAACUGUCAUGUAAAAUACGACAAAACAUAUGCUAUGAGUUUAAAUACAAAUAUUGUCAUCUAGACAAUAUCUACACUCAAAGGAGUCCUCAUUACAUUUAUUAUUACACUAUUUAACAGAAUAGUGAGGACUACUAAUGCUAUCAUCUGGACAGUCACUCCGUCCCCGACUCGUCCCAGCUAUAUUCUCAUUUCCC